This 60-nucleotide microRNA precursor is filed under the name Scyliorhinus torazame (cloudy catshark). RNAcentral's name for it is "Sto-Mir-24-P3_pre stem-loop". It matches the Rfam family "mir-24 microRNA precursor family", at positions 8 to 65 of the family's 69-position model. Rfam says of the family: This family represents the microRNA (miRNA) mir-24 family. miRNAs are transcribed as ~70nt precursors (modelled here) and subsequently processed by the Dicer enzyme to give a ~22nt product. In this case the mature sequence comes from the 3' arm of the precursor. Lineage: Eukaryota; Metazoa; Chordata; Chondrichthyes; Carcharhiniformes; Scyliorhinidae. The record is from RNAcentral.
GUGCCUACUGAGCUGAUAACAGUUGAUGUAGCCUGCACUGGCUCAGUUCAGCAGGAACAG